CCAGAACUUGCCAUCCACUGUAUGAGGGGCCCAAGUCACUGCGGGAAAACCAGCUUUCAUUCCAGACAUGGAAAUUCCUAUGUGCAAGAAUGAACGAAGUGCCAGUUGGUACUUGGCUGCAUUGCAGCUAUGAAAAAGUGAGAAGAGCAAGAAAACUUGAGGGUCCAUCCAAGGAGGAAGGAGCGCAAACACGCUCGCAAGGAUUGCAUUUUACUUUCUACAGGAGAGAAAAAUGCUGAAACAACCUAUUCAUAAUCUCAGAACAUAACCCCACAGAGAAGGCUAACAUAUGAUAAAUACACCAGAGGAGAAGUAAGAAGCAGCAGCUAUCAUACAUCUUGGCUUUGUCUUGCAACAGGAUCCCACAUGGUAUUUUCAUAAGCACACUUCGGAAACACUAAUUACACAAGAUUUCUAUGAGUUAACUGCAUAACUUGUAAAAAAACAAAUGCUGCAUUGUUUCAACAGAUCACUGUCAAACUGGAAGGGCAUAGUGACUGAAGUGUGAUUAAAAGUUGCCUUGGAGCUUUGAUGUUUGUUAAAUAUGCUCUUUCUGUUGUUAGUAAGACAUCAGCUGGAUGAAGUACUGUGUUAGCCCUGGGCUAACCUCAGCUGCAUAAUGUCAAGAAUACAGAGAAUGGAGAGCUUAAAAAAAUUAGAAGGAUUAAGUUGGAUCAGUCUAAAACAGAGGCAACUGCAGAGGUGCAAAGAUGAUUUUGAAAACGCUGAAAAGUGUUUAUAGAAAGAGGAGGCCAGUCAAGGAGUCAUGGUCUCUGACUAAAGACACUGAAGUGGAGCAUAAAUAAAAAUGUUGGCAGUGAAGAAAAGUAUUCAGCUAGACCCUCUAGGUAGGUUGUAAAAUGUUAAACAUUUUUUCUAUGGAGAUUAAGAAUGGGCUGCAUGGACAUUUGUUAAGGAUAAUAUAUGUGUGUAGCUGAGCUGUACUUGGGGAAUUUAUGUUGAUGUCAAAGCCGUGACACAGACACUUAUUCCCCCUGUUGUGUACUCUUGAUACUUGAUGCUGAACUGUAUGAUGUAGAGAAGGCCUUAGUAGGGAAACUAAAUACUCUGCAUCCAGUGUUGAUUCAGUCUCAUUUGCCUUGCUAUUCCUUUAUUACUGUGACUGACUUACCCACAGUGAAUAAAUGCAUUGUCUCCUCUGGUGAGGGGUUACCAAGUUACCAAGACAAGCCUGCAGACUUCUUGCACGUCAUGUUCAUCUUAAGAACUUCUAAUUUCUGAGAAGUAAUAGAACUUUUCACAUAUAAACAGAGGGAUGUUAGCACUGUAUCUGUACAGUAUUGCAUCAGUUGAGAUUCAUGUUUCUGACAGUAUGAGCCAGUUCACAAGAAUCACCAGGAAGCCCCACAGCAGACUCUCUUGAUUUUCUUGUGAAGGGAAAAUCUGUCCUACGUUGUCACUUGGGUACUUGUUCCCUGAAAGAAGGAAUUUACAUAAGUGACCUGAAAGUAACCACAUCUUUUUCUUAUGCAGAGAAAAGCUGCCUCCUUUUU
Molecule: long non-coding RNA, 1514 nt
Organism: Athene cunicularia (burrowing owl)
Lineage: Eukaryota; Metazoa; Chordata; Aves; Strigiformes; Strigidae
Exons: 4
Source: RefSeq, a predicted model, not a curated record